This is a long non-coding RNA of Oncorhynchus keta (chum salmon), 261 nucleotides long. RefSeq lists it as uncharacterized. The transcript is spliced from 4 exons. NCBI's taxonomy places the organism in Eukaryota, Metazoa, Chordata, Actinopteri, Salmoniformes, Salmonidae. The record is from RefSeq and is a predicted model, not a curated record.
GUGUGUCUCUCCCUCCUUACCCAUCCUGUUGGGGCUCAGGCUUGCCCUCCAGAGCAGUCAGCAGGUGUGUGUGUGUCUCUCUCCUUACCUAUCCUGUUGGGGCUCAGGCUUGCCCUCCAUAGCAGUUAUCAGGUGUGUGUGUGUCUCUCUCCUUACCUAUCCUGUUGGGGCUCAGGCUUGCCCUCCAUAGCAGUUAUCAGGUGUGUGUGUGUCUCUCUCCUUACCUAUCCUGUUGGGGCUCAGGCUUGCCCUCCAUAGCAG